Molecule: transfer RNA, 67 nt
Filed under: Marmota monax (woodchuck)
Lineage: Eukaryota; Metazoa; Chordata; Mammalia; Rodentia; Sciuridae
Description: tRNA.Ala
Source: RNAcentral
GGUUGUAGCUCGGUGGUAGAGCACUUGCCUAGCAUGUGUGAGGCACUGGGUUCAAUUCUAAGCACCG